CCCACUGAAGACUGAACUGUCUAUCAGACUGCUGUCCACAAGUUAAAAUUACCUCCUUCGCUUGUUCUUCAGAUUUGGAAGAGAGUAUUAAAACAACAGCGAGAGGAUGAGGAGAGGAAGCUUCAACACAAGGCAAAGAAGGAUGCAAAGAAGAAACAGCAGGAGAUUCUGGAGUCGAAGUAAAUGCUCUUUCAGGCGGUAUCUUUUGGUCGGCGUGUGGCUGCCGAAGAUAUGGUCGUGGGCUCGUCGCUAUAUGCACCUUGAUCUGAAGAUAGCGAGCGCCAGACACAACUCUAUGAUGCAAAGCUGCGUGGGUGGAGAUUUUGAAAAGAAAAUGUUUGUAAUGCAAGGGAACUUAUUAUUGUAGCGACCAGACUCUGUAAUGAACAUGUUACCUUGUCGUGCACUGGUGAUUAUCUGAGAAGCAUUCCGUCUUUGAGAAAUAUGAUAACUAUCUGCCAG
Long non-coding RNA from Triticum aestivum (bread wheat), 462 nucleotides. RefSeq lists it as uncharacterized. Lineage: Eukaryota; Viridiplantae; Streptophyta; Magnoliopsida; Poales; Poaceae. The transcript has 2 exons. The record is from RefSeq and is a predicted model, not a curated record.